Molecule: ribosomal RNA, 2038 nt
Filed under: Triticum aestivum (bread wheat)
Lineage: Eukaryota; Viridiplantae; Streptophyta; Magnoliopsida; Poales; Poaceae
Description: partial small subunit ribosomal RNA
Source: RNAcentral
UUCGUCCAAGAUAGUAAAAAUAGCGGGCGAACGUUGGGGUGGGGGCACCGAUCCCAAGGCCCGUUCCGAAGCGGCCGAGCAGAGGCCGCCGGGGUCAAUAAACCGAGUAGCAGCACAGCGUUCAAAGACUGCAGCGACAUGUGACACCUGAAGCGGUCUUUAGGCAGACGUGUAUGAAGUGGCGGACGGCCUUGAAGCAGACUGGACUCCCACCUCUCCGCUUGGAGUUUAGGCGUUGUAGACUAGAACGAGCGACUCAACGAUAAGGACCAUAUGUUGGGAAUUUGUGUUCGUACAGAAAUAAAUUAACAAAUAGAACGAAACGAUGUUACCUUCUUUAUUUUUAUUCUUUGUUAAAAGCACCACCUAGAGAACCUUUUAAACCUUGUCAUAAACUAGACCCCUGUUGUUGAUACUUUUGUUAACUAGAACCUAAACUCAAAGAAAAUUAGAAAUUUUACUACAUGCCCCGGUCGUUUAAGUCAAUAAACCAAAACAUUCAAACUAUAAAGACUUUGAACAAUCCUAAAUCCCACGUAUAGUCCUAUACACGUAGUGCGAGUUACCACUCUGCUCUUGGACUAGGCCAGUGUAUAAAGAAAACAAAGAGACGGUACAAGUUUAUAUCUUUUGUACAUCGAAUCAGCUAUGAUUUACAAACCGUGGUCUCAAAAAAGCGUCAUUAGUCUACAAAAAAAAUGACUUCCGGAAGGAUAGAAUGACGUACAUAGUGAAUUAUAAUUGUGAAGUUGUAAUGAGCACUGAACACUACUGUGUCACACAAGUAACAGGCUACACGGCGUACUGGUAACUUAUCAUGAGUCUCGUAUGUGGAUAAGCACGGAGUAAUACGACAUGAACCUACUUCAAAGGGUCUUAUCAACCGUCAAAUGUAACUGUACCGUCCGUCCCUACACCUUAAUGUUUUCUACUAUAAAACCUUCUCGACCAAGACCUCGACUACAUGUGGAUGAAACUCAUGAAAGUUAUAACAAAAGAUGAAGGUUUCAACAAACCCACCAUUUAAUAAAAAGUUCAAACGUUCGUAUAUAAAUAAUUAAAAGAUGGGCAACGUGGCGUGUACGGAAAACCGAACCGGAAGCGGGAGGUGCGUGCGGUCGACGCCACCUUCGGAUCGAGGGUGUCGAGACGUCACUCCGUGCGUCUCUCACUGCUGUUGAAGACUUCGGUACCGAUCGGACACUAAUGGUCUCACCGCUACUCACACUAAACUAUGGACAAAACAAACGAGGAAGACAAAACUAAACUCAACUACCCCUACUCUACACUGGGACGACGACCCGCAGCGUUUGCGGUGCCGAGGUACACGGGGUCGAAACCACUACGUGCCCGCUCCGAUGAGCUAGACCACAUCAGCGGGAGGAAGGUUCUUUAGUUCAAGAAAGCAAGUCUAAAAUCUAGAGAACUCAAAGUCGAAUCAAGUUCCUAUCUUUUCGUACGAGGAAUACCUAAGUUACUCCUUUUGGUAGUCGGUGAAUAAGUCUUAACCUACCACACCACGUGGAAGUAGAACGAUAGGUUGAAGAAUCGAAUAAACGAAAUUGAAAUGAUGUCAAUAUAUCGUCCUAUUCCUAGGUUAGAACACUGCGGUGAGGUAAAGGUAGCAGUUUUCAACACGUACUCAACUAAGUCUGAAAGUCUCAAGUCUCUUGUGGAUCGUCUCAAUUAGUCGGACUUCCAUAUAGUCUAGGAUUCCUUUCUCCUGGGCCAAGUCUAAACAGUGAUUAUACACAACAACCUAUCGGUACUUUAACUGCCGCCGCCGAGCCGCCGCCACACCGCUUACUGCUUCGUAGAUUUUACCUGCCUUCUCUCCACCAUUCCGCGCCGACCCUCUGCAUGUAUAAACUCCUUUAUGCUAAGUAUUCCAAAGUAUAAUUGUUUUUAACUAUCAGAAACAUUUCAUUAGGCUUGUAAAACAACUAAGGCCCUGUUGAAAUAAGAGGUUAUACUUAAACAUUCUUUUCUAUACCGUAUGUAAACACAUUUAACUAUUACAUUCGUGUAGAUCUUUGAG